GAUGAAGAACGUAGCGAAAUGCGAUAAGUAAUGUGAAUUGCAGAAUUCAGUGAAUCAUCGAAUCUUUGAACGCACAUUGCGCCCGUCAGUAUUCUGGCGGGCAUGCCUGUUCGAGCGUCAUUACGCCCCUCAAGUCCCCUGUGGACUUGGUGUUGGGGAUCGGCGAGGCUGGUUUUCCAGCACAGCCGUCCCUUAAAUUAAUUGGCGGUCUCGCCGUGGCCCUCCUCUGCGCAGUAGUAAAACACUCGCAACAGGAGCCCNGCGCGGUCCACUGCCGUAAAACCCCCCAACUUUUUAUAGUUGACCUCGAAUCAGGUAGGACUACCCGCUGAACUUAAGCAUAUCAAUAAGCGGAGGA
RNAcentral lists this unclassified non-coding RNA (358 nucleotides) under soil metagenome. RNAcentral's name for it is "partial contains 5.8S ribosomal RNA, internal transcribed spacer 2, and large subunit ribosomal RNA". The stretch from base 1 to 120 matches the Rfam family "5.8S ribosomal RNA", at positions 35 to 154 of the family's 154-position model. The record is from RNAcentral.